This 404-nucleotide ribosomal RNA is filed under the name uncultured bacterium. Its description in RNAcentral is "bacterial SSU rRNA". It matches the Rfam family "Bacterial small subunit ribosomal RNA", at positions 30 to 436 of the family's 1533-position model. The record is from RNAcentral.
AUUGAACGCUGGCGGCAUGCCUUACACAUGCAAGUCGAACGGCAGCACGGGAGCAAUCCUGGUGGCGAGUGGCGAACGGGUGAGUAAUAUAUCGGAACGUGCCCGGUCGUGGGGGAUAACGUAGCGAAAGCUACGCUAAUACCGCAUACGAUCUACGGAUGAAAGCGGGGGGAUCGCAAGACCUCGCGCGAUUGGAGCGGCCGAUAUCAGAUUAGGUAGUUGGUGAGGUAAAGGCUCACCAAGCCGACGAUCUGUAGCUGGUCUGAGAGGACGACCAGCCACACUGGGACUGAGACACGGCCCAGACUCCUACGGGAGGCAGCAGUGGGGAAUUUUGGACAAUGGGCGCAAGCCUGAUCCAGCAAUGCCGCGUGCAGGAUGAAGGCCUCGGUGUAACUAGCUUU